RNAcentral lists this ribosomal RNA (394 nucleotides) under uncultured bacterium. RNAcentral describes it as "bacterial SSU rRNA". It matches the Rfam family "Bacterial small subunit ribosomal RNA", at positions 28 to 426 of the family's 1533-position model. The record is from RNAcentral.
GACGAACGCUGGCGGCGUGCUUAACACAUGCAAGUCGAGCGGUAAGGCCCUUUCGGGGGUACACGAGCGGCGAACGGGUGAGUAACACGUGGGUGACCUGCCCUUAGCUCUGGGAUAAGCCUGGGAAACUGGGUCUAAUACCGGAUAUGACUCCAUGACGCAUGUUGUGGGGUGGAAAGCCUUGUGCGGCUAGGGAUGGGCCCGCGGCCUAUCAGCUUGUUGGUGGGGUGAUGGCCACCAAGGCGACGACGGGUAGCCGGCCUGAGAGGGCGACCGGCCACACUGGGACUGAGAUACGGCCCAGACUCCUACGGGAGGCAGCAGUGGGGAAUCUUGCGCAAUGGGCGAAAGCCUGACGCAGCGACGCCGCGUGAGGGAUGACGGCCUCGGUUGU